RNAcentral lists this long non-coding RNA (203 nucleotides) under Mytilus galloprovincialis (Mediterranean mussel). Lineage: Eukaryota; Metazoa; Mollusca; Bivalvia; Mytilida; Mytilidae. The record is from RNAcentral.
GUGUAUCGAUGAGAUGAAACAUGGAUAUCAAAUCAUUGAACUAGUCAUCAAAACAAAUAUAUUAUUUAUCUCAAAAAGAGGCGUGGCCUUGGAAACAGCUGUAUUAACAAAGUGCAACCUAUAACUUUGGAAGAUUUUUCUUUAACAUAACUAUCAAGAAACUUUUAGUUUUGGUGUAAUUUAAAGCACUUCUCGUAAUGCAU